Molecule: ribosomal RNA, 1023 nt
Filed under: Timema californicum (California timema)
Lineage: Eukaryota; Metazoa; Arthropoda; Insecta; Phasmatodea; Timematidae
Description: SSU rRNA
Rfam family: Eukaryotic small subunit ribosomal RNA
Source: RNAcentral
CCUGAGAAACGGCUACCACAUCCAAGGAAGGCAGCAGGCGCGCAAAUUACCCACUCCCGGCACGGGGAGGUAGUGACGAAAAAUAACGAUACGGGACUCAUCCGAGGCCCCGUAAUCGGAAUGAGUACACUUUAAAUCCUUUAACGAGUAUCCAUUGGAGGGCAAGUCUGGUGCCAGCAGCCGCGGUAAUUCCAGCUCCAAUAGCGUAUAUUAAAGUUGUUGCGGUUAAAAAGCUCGUAGUUGGAGUUGUGUCCCACGUUGUCGGUUCACAGACCGUCUGUGCUUAAGGACGCCGCCGNUGCGGAAAGCAUGCACUCCAGCACCGCGGUGCUCUUAACCGAGUGUCGAGGUGGACCGGCACGUUUACUUUGAACAAACCCCGUUGACCGNCGGUCCUAUCAAAUCCUACCGCUGGCACGCCCGUGUGGACGUCCUGCCGGUUUAGAGUGCUYAAAGCAGGCAGUGCUUAGCCUGAAUACUGUGUGCAUGGAAUAAUGGAAUAGGACCUCGGUUCUAUUUGGUUGGUUUUCGGAACUUGAGGUAAUGAUUAAUAGGGACUGUCGGGGGCAUUCGUAUUGCGACGUUAGAGGUGAAAUUCUUGGACCGUCGCAAGACGAACCGAAGCGAAAGCAUUUGCCAAGAAUGUUCUCACUAAUCAAGAACGAAAGUUAGAGGUUCGAAGGCGAUCAGAUACCGCCCUAGUUCUAACCAUAAACGAUGCCAGCCAGCGAUCCGCCGAAGUUCCUCCGAUGACUCGGCGGGCAGCUUCCGGGAAACCAAAGCUUUUGGGUUCCGGGGGAAGUAUGGUUGCAAAGCUGAAACUUAAAGGAAUUGACGGAAGGGCACCACCAGGAGUGGAGCCUGCGGCUUAAUUUGACUCAACACGGGAAACCUCACCAGGCCCGGACACCGGAAGGAUUGACAGAUUGAGAGCUCUCUCUUGAUUCGGUGGGUGGUGGUGCAUGGCCGUUCUUAGUUGGUGGAGCGAUUUGUCUGGUUAAUUUCCGAUAACGAACGAGACUC